GUGAGGCGAAGCUGAGCAGGAAUGGCCCUGUGGACCUCUGUGAUGGGACAUCUGGUGGAAUCUCACAGGCAGUUCUGUGGCAAAGAUGGAUGAAAGCUAAGGACUCAUGAGGAAGCUGGAUAACUGAACAAAGCCAUGUACAAGAAUGGGAAGCCAGAAAAUGGGAUGGUGGAGUUUGAAUCAGGUGGACAGUUCUAAAAGUACAAAUGAUUUCGUAUAAAGGUACCACAUGUGGGUCCCUUUAACUGAAGGCAUGGCAAGCUCCACACAAGGUCCUUCAUUUCUGAAUUUCAAGGGCUCCUCUGACAAGUGGACAGUGCAGUGGGUGCACCUUUUCCAGAGGUGACUGGAUGGAUGCUUGAACAGAAGAUUUGCCAAAUAGACAUUGUGCUGUCAAGAAUUUUACCAUUAAAAGUGCAUUAUUGUAGC
This 429-nucleotide long non-coding RNA is filed under the name Rattus norvegicus (Norway rat). RNAcentral describes it as "growth arrest specific 5 (Gas5)". The record is from RNAcentral. Lineage: Eukaryota; Metazoa; Chordata; Mammalia; Rodentia; Muridae.